GAUGAACGCUGGCGGCGUGCCUAAUACAUGCAAGUCGAGCGAACGGACGAGCAGCUUGCUUCCCUGAUGUUACCGGCGGACGGGUGAGUUACACGUGGGUAACCUAUCUCUAAGACUGAGAUAACUUCGGGAAACCGGAGCUAACACCGGCUCAUCUUUUGAACCCCAUGGUUCAUAAGAGCAAGACGGUCUUGAUGUCACUUAUAGAUGGUUCCUCGCUGCAUUAGCUAGUUGGUAAGGUAACGGCUUACCAAGGCAACGAUGCAUAGCCGACCUGAGAGGGUGAUCGGCCACACUGGGACUGAGACACGGUCCAGACUCCUACGGGAGGCAGCAGUAGGGAAUCUUCCGCAAUGGGCGAAAGCCUGACGGAGCAACGCCGCGUGAGUGAUGAAGGUCUUCGGAUCGUAAAGCUCUGUUAGUAGGGAAGAACAGAUGUGUAAGUAACUGUGCACAUCUUGACGGUACCUGAUCAGAAAGCCACGGCUAACUACGUG
This 497-nucleotide ribosomal RNA is filed under the name uncultured bacterium. RNAcentral describes it as "partial 16S ribosomal RNA". It matches the Rfam family "Bacterial small subunit ribosomal RNA", at positions 28 to 507 of the family's 1533-position model. The record is from RNAcentral.